GAUGAAGAACGUAGCGAAAUGCGAAAAGUAGUGUGAAUUGCAGAAUUCAGUGAAUCAUCGAAUCUUUGAACGCACAUUGCGCCCCUUGGUAUUCCAUGGGGCAUGCCUGUUCGAGCGUCAUUUGUACCCUCAAGCUCUGCUUGGUGUUGGGGCCUGCUGCACUGGCAGCCCUUAAAAUCAGUGGCGGCGCCAUCUGGCUCUAAGCGUAGUAAUUCUUCUCGCUAUGGAGUCCUGGUGGAUGCUUGCCAUCAACCCCCAAUUUUUCUAUGGUUGACCUCGGAUCAGGUAGGGAUACCCGCUGAACUUAAGCAUAUCAAUAAGCGGAGGA
Molecule: unclassified non-coding RNA, 328 nt
Filed under: soil metagenome
Description: partial contains 5.8S ribosomal RNA, internal transcribed spacer 2, and large subunit ribosomal RNA
Rfam family: 5.8S ribosomal RNA (bases 1-120)
Source: RNAcentral